UACAGAGGGUGCAAACGUUGCUCGGAAUUACUGGGCGUAAAGCGCGUGUAGGUGGUUUCGCAAGUCAGGUGUGAAAGCCCGAGGCUCAACCUCGGAAGUGCACUUGAUACUACGGAGCUGGAGUCUUGGAGAGGAGAGCGGAAUUCCCGGUGUAGAGGUGAAAUUCGUAGAUAUCGGGAGGAACACCAGUGGCGAAGGCGGCUCUCUGGACAAGUACUGACACUGAGACGCGAAAGCAUGGGGAGCAAACAGGAUUAGAUACCCCCGUAGUCC
This 273-nucleotide ribosomal RNA is filed under the name uncultured bacterium. RNAcentral describes it as "partial 16S ribosomal RNA". It matches the Rfam family "Bacterial small subunit ribosomal RNA", at positions 524 to 796 of the family's 1533-position model. The record is from RNAcentral.